Long non-coding RNA from Dreissena polymorpha, 298 nucleotides. RefSeq lists it as uncharacterized. The transcript is spliced from 3 exons. NCBI's taxonomy places the organism in Eukaryota, Metazoa, Mollusca, Bivalvia, Myida, Dreissenidae. The record is from RefSeq and is a predicted model, not a curated record.
AGAAACAAAUGGAUGCGAUGCGAUUUUCUUUUCGUCCGUCAACGGUUCAUGCAUAGGAUGCAGAAAACUAAUCGACCUGUCAUCAGCAUUGGUGGCGUCAACAACAAACGUGUUCUAUCAGUUGGUGAAUGAAAACUUGUUGGAAUGGCACUACGGAAAGUCCAGAUACUUUUUGGAUGUCAGCAAAAGAAUGAACUACUCCGACGCAAAGGUUCACUGUCAGCUGUUUGGUGCGCACGUGGUGGUACCUGACAGCCAAGACGAACAGAAUUUCUUGAUCGAUCGCCUGUCAAACACA